CCUUAGCGCUAAUGGAUCCCUGCCUCUUACUUGAGGGCGAGGGGUGGCUCGAAGGCCUAGGGUAGUUCGGGUUGAGGGGAGCCGGGUGGUCAGCAUUCCCGAGAUGAGAGCGGCAAAAAGAGAGGCAUUUAAUGGGGAAAAAAAAGAGGGUCGAGAUGGAGUAGAUGGCAGAAACCGGGAACGAAGGACUUUCCUGAGUGACAUCUGCCACGUACUGCUUCGGAGGCGACACGGGACCAGGACUGCUCACGACAAGAUUUGAGCUGGUUUGCUUGCAGCCCAUAAUAAAACAUUGGAGCUUCCUAAACUUGUGGUUCCUCAGCUGUGAAACAAACCCACUGCACGUCCAGCAUCCACAGGAUUGCCUCAUAUCGCCCUCGAGGGGAGUCUCGUGUCUCCUGUCAGCAUCCGUGACACUGUAGCAGGCUAAGUUACUGGACUGCAAGUAAGAUAAAUAUGAGACCCUUCACAGUUCUUGAUAUGUGGACCCUUGCACCCAACCGUGGACAAUACACCAUCUUCCUCGAGCAAUACACAUGGAACGUGGACAAUUUACCUAGCACAGUGCCUGCCGCCUGAAAGACAGUCAAUGAAUGUUAGCUCUCACUUGCCUCUAGCACUACUGUUCCUCUCACUUCCUUGAGCAGUCAGCAGCCAAAGGGAAGAAAUGAAUCAUGUGAACAGAAAUCAUAGAGUGUUAAAACCGUCUGAGAGAUGGAGAUAAGUGGGCGGCACACAGGGAGCUAUGGUGUAGAACAACCCCUUCUGCGUUGGCCCUACAUUGUGACUUCAUUAUUUGAUUUGAGGCAAGAACAUUCCCAGGAACACAAAUAUUGGAUUUCUUUUUUUUCGGCCGCACCGCGCAGCUGAUGGGAUCUUUAGUUCCCCAACCAGGGAUUGAACCCAGGCCAUGGCAGUGAAAGCGCUGAGUCCUAACCACUGGACUGCCAGGGAAUUCCCAAAUAUUGGGUAUUUAUAUUCAAUUGUCAAGACACUUUCCCAAGGUCCUAUGGAAAUUAAAUCUAUAUUAACCAUUUUCUUAUCACUCAGAUCAGCA
Long non-coding RNA from Balaenoptera ricei (Rice's whale), 1057 nucleotides. RefSeq lists it as uncharacterized. The transcript has 3 exons. The record is from RefSeq and is a predicted model, not a curated record. Lineage: Eukaryota; Metazoa; Chordata; Mammalia; Artiodactyla; Balaenopteridae.